CCCUUAGAUGUUCUGGGCUGCACGCGUGCUACAAUGGCGCUUGCAACAAGUCUUGCCAACCCGAUAGGGUGAGCGGAUCUUUGAAGAGGCGUCGUGAUCGGGACAGUUGAUUGCAAUUAUUCGACUCGAACGAGGAAUUCCUUGUAAUCGCGAUUCAUCAUAUCGCGCUGAAUACGUCCCUGCCCUUUGUACACACCGCCCGUCGCUCCUACCGAUUGAGCGAUCCGGUGAAUGUUUUGGACUGGCGUCAGAAGCUGUUCGCUCCUGACACUACGAAAUUUUGUAAACCUUAUCGCUUAGAGGAAGGAAAAGUCGUAACA
Molecule: ribosomal RNA, 320 nt
Filed under: uncultured eukaryote
Lineage: Eukaryota
Description: partial 18S ribosomal RNA
Rfam family: Eukaryotic small subunit ribosomal RNA
Source: RNAcentral